AGUCAUAUUAGCAGUCUUGCUCUUAGCAGUAUUAGUAGAAGUAAAUGUCUUUUCUUAUCAGCAGCAGCUUCCACAUACCUGCAGACGAGCCAGAGUAUAAGCACCGCAGCUUCAGUGACUGCAGGAGACAGAACAGAGCCUACCUCAUCUGGUGCACAGGCCUGGACAAAUCACUCACAGGCAGGAACUGAAGGUGUGACAGAGACUAAAGGGACGCACCGGACAACAUCAACCUCAACCACCACUGAGCCUUCAAGCAAUGGGACCGACUCUGCCCAUAUACAUGGCAGCACAACAACAGCGGUGAUCGGCUGUGCUUCAUUGGCCUUCGUCUUAGCUUUGAUCGGAAUCAGCCUAUAUUGUUAUAAAAGGUAAGCUAGAGAAAAGCAUGUUAACAUAGUGAUUCAUUGAAAAAUGUAUUUGUUCAGGUGUAAAUAUGUCACGCUACACUUUCUUUCGCUUGAUAGAACAACUGAAAUAAAGGUAAAAUGGUUUGUUUGCAAACCCAUGUGCCUACUUAAUCAAAACACGCAUUUACACUAGGGGUGGGGGGGAAAAUCAAUACAGCAUAGUAUCAUGAUUUUUUCUGUGGC
This 593-nucleotide long non-coding RNA is filed under the name Sander lucioperca (pikeperch). Its description in RNAcentral is "lncRNA (ENSSLUG00000018037.1)". Lineage: Eukaryota; Metazoa; Chordata; Actinopteri; Perciformes; Percidae. The record is from RNAcentral.